RNAcentral lists this transfer RNA (72 nucleotides) under Camelus bactrianus (Bactrian camel). It matches the Rfam family "tRNA". From Rfam's summary of the family: Transfer RNA (tRNA) molecules are approximately 80 nucleotides in length. Their secondary structure includes four short double-helical elements and three loops (D, anti-codon, and T loops). RNAcentral also lists the same sequence under 2 other names. The record is from Rfam by way of RNAcentral. Lineage: Eukaryota; Metazoa; Chordata; Mammalia; Artiodactyla; Camelidae.
UGGGGUAUAGCUCAGUGGUAGAGUGUAUGCUUGGCAUUUAUGAGGUCCUGGGUUCAAUCCCCAGCACCUCCA